UCCUACGGGAGGCAGCAGUAAGGAAUAUUGGUCAAUGGAGGGAACUCUGAACCAGCCAUGCCGCGUGCAGGAUGACUGCCCUAUGGGUUGUAAACUGCUUUUGUCAGGGAAUAAACCUUUCCACGUGUGGGAAGCUGAAUGUACCUGAAGAAUAAGGAUCGGCUAACUCCGUGCCAGCAGCCGCGGUAAUA
RNAcentral lists this ribosomal RNA (191 nucleotides) under uncultured Sphingobacterium sp. RNAcentral's name for it is "partial 16S ribosomal RNA". It matches the Rfam family "Bacterial small subunit ribosomal RNA", at positions 337 to 525 of the family's 1533-position model. Lineage: Bacteria; Pseudomonadati; Bacteroidota; Sphingobacteriia; Sphingobacteriales; Sphingobacteriaceae. The record is from RNAcentral.